UUCAAUUUAUUAAUUUAAUCGGUGAUUUACGUGUAGACCCGCACGUAAUUUAUCCGACUUUCGAUUACGGGUAUAAAAGGAGAAAGACGAUUAAAAGCUCGAACGUAAACAGAUUAGUCGUUAGAUAAGAAUAUAUUACCUUUUACCCAAUAAUAACGUUUUGUUAAUCGAUCGAUUUACGAAAGGCCUAUUAACACAUUAGCGCAAAUGCUAACCUGAAAUUGCGCGUUAUUAAAAUCGCUGCGUAAAUGCUUUUAAGGGUAUUGGGCGUUUAUUAAUUGCCUCGGGCCACGAAUCGAACUUUGUACCGCUUUAAAUAUCCGUCCUUAUCGAAUUUGUAAAUAAAAACCCAUAUAAAGGGAACCCGCCUCGUUUUGCAUUCGGAUUUCGGUAUUACCUCCCAUAUUUCCUUUUAUUUAAAAGUAUCCUAUUCCAAACGUACCGCUUUUAUAAAUUGCAUAUAAUUUGGGUAAUUUAGAAACUCCUUCCAGGUUUUGGGAAUUGGUAAUAGGUCGUUUCGAUAUAAUUUAAUUUUCAAAUCCGGUUUUUUUUGCUAUGUAACUGCUGCAACAAUUUCGUAUAAUAUUUUAUAAUUAUAAUUACCGCCUUCCAACGUAUUUUGUUAAUUAGGCAAAAAUAUUGUAAUAAACAAUGCCCACGCCUCGGAACUCGGUACAAAUAUCCAAUUUGGGUUAUAUAUUUGUUUAAUAAACACGUUAUUAUUUCCGCCUAUUUAAUUCCUCCCCACGGGGAAUAAUAUAUACGCAAAAUUCGUGCUAUUAUUAUCCCCUUUGCGCCUUCCGCGUUAUACGCUUCCCCCACCUCGUUAUUUGCGUGGCCUUACAUUUAUUUCCAAAAUUUUUGUGGUGAACCUCGUAACGCGUAAUAUUCGUUUAAAUUCGUUUACGCGCGUGGAACCCAUUUUUGGGGGCUCCAACGCACGUAUAAAAAAGGCGGUCCGUGCGGGUAAAUUAUUAGGGGGUUAUGGUUUAGGGGUUUUUGCACCCCCGGCCUCGGAUUAAUCCGGCGAAAAAUAUCGUACUACCGUCUUAACCGUUCCGAAACCCGGUUUAACCUAUUUUGUACGUCCUACCGGUUUCGGCGCAUCUAAUCCCUUACUGGGGUUCGUCGAUACAAAUAAUAGAAAUCUCGUAUUGCUCGGGGUGCGCACCCUAAGGUUAUACGUAUUAUUUCCUGUUUUGGACGUUCCGUCCCUAUUUGCCAAAACCGUUGGGUAUUUUGGCGCCACCAAAAUACAAUUUCUGGGCUCGUUAACUUUUAAUAUAUAUUUUCCAGGCGGUUCCGGUUGGUUCGCCGCCUUUCCUGGAAACGGUCCACCCGUAAUUAUUCGUGCGGGUUUUUAUUCUGCGUAAACUUUUAUCCCUUCGUCGGGACGUUCGUUUGCAUCUUCCGCGCCUCGUUUAUUUUAUUACCGAAUAUUAUUUACCUCCAAAUUAAAAAUAGGUACGCCUAAAUCUGGGGUAAACACUGGCCUAUUUUAUAACAGGCCCAACCUUUCGGCAACGCCUGUGCUAACAGCUUCCAAAUUGGGCUCGUAAAUUAUAUUAAUCAACAGUUCGUAUUCGUUAAUCAACUUACCGGUCUCCUUUACCUUUUGCUUUAAUCCCUUAUAAAAACAGGUUUCGUUAAACCGAACGUUGCGUAAAAUGAUAAUCUUGUCGAAAAACGGCACCCAUAUAUAAUAUAUUUUGGUAACUUUAUAACCUACCAAAUACCCAACGUGGGAUUUUGGAUUCGUUUUAAAUAUCACCCUAUUUUAAAUCUUUACCCUGACCGGAUUUAACACGUACGCCUUGCAACCAUACAUAUAAAUCCCUAACCAAUUUGGGCGCAGGUCCUUCCCUAAUUUAAUAUGCAAAACCGGUAUAUAAUACCUAAAAAAUCGCUGGAACUAUACCAGGAGGAUUUUAUUCGGACUAACCCCUUUUUUAUUUAUUAAAAAGUUUAUAUUAAUUAAAUAGGCUGCGGCCAUAACCAUUUCUGGCCAAAAGGUGCUAGGUAGGUUGGUUGCUAAACGCAUCUUCAAUGCGCGCACGAUUAUUUCUUAACCUAAACGUUUUAUUUAACCGUUAGGCUCGUGGAUAUCUGCUGGGGGUGUUAAUAGGAAUCGUAUAAUCGCUGCGAUCGGUAAAAACAAUAUUAACAAAUUGAACGUAAUUUAAUCUCUUCUCUUCUAGCUAUUUACAUAUUCGUCAAAAUCGGUUGAAGAUUCUUUUACAUGUUAUAAAAUCACGUGGUUAAACACGUAAUUUCCUUAUACGCAUAUCUGCCCAUAAAUUAACACAGGUUAUCUUUUAUAUUAAUUGCAAAUAUACCCUCCUAUAAAACCGUAAAUAAUUGCUAAUAAAAUAACAAAGGAAAAAUAACCGCAUUUGGAAAAUCGUGUAAUUUCCUAACGUUGCAAACAAAUGCGCUAAAAUAGCCGUUCCCGGCUUUUUUUAAAUAAUCCUAUUAUUUUCCAAUUACAAUUGAAAAACCCUUUAUUGUACGUAAACGGUUAAUUUAUUAUUAAUAACUAUUAUAAUAGGAAUAUUUAAUAAAAACUUUGUAUUGUAAUAAUUACCGAUCCCGUUUUAAUCCGUUUAUAUAAUACCUUUUUUUUUGGGUUUAUAAACUUUUUUUUUUAUUUUUCCGACCCAUAUUUCACCACGUUACCGUAAAUACGCCGUUUAUUUCCAACGAUUAUUAAAUGGGUAUAUCGUUGUUAAUAUAAUUUAAAAAAUGUCCGAUUUUAU
Molecule: small RNA, 2756 nt
Filed under: Pyricularia oryzae
Lineage: Eukaryota; Fungi; Ascomycota; Sordariomycetes; Magnaporthales; Pyriculariaceae
Description: Magnaporthe oryzae sRNA M_BR32_EuGene_00146541
Source: RNAcentral